Molecule: transfer RNA, 71 nt
Filed under: Zingiber officinale
Lineage: Eukaryota; Viridiplantae; Streptophyta; Magnoliopsida; Zingiberales; Zingiberaceae
Rfam family: tRNA
About the family: Transfer RNA (tRNA) molecules are approximately 80 nucleotides in length. Their secondary structure includes four short double-helical elements and three loops (D, anti-codon, and T loops).
Source: Rfam by way of RNAcentral
GCACCAGUGGUCUAGUGGUAGAAUAGUACCUUGCCACGGUACAAAGCGGGGUUCGAUUCCCGGCUGGUGCA